CACGAGGGACAAACACGGAACUGGAAGGCUGAGACCACAAGGACACACGCUUUCCCCUAACCUCCGGGACUCGGCGUCGCCACGGUGUUACCUUGUAGAUUCGGAACUUGCCAGAAGGCAAAGAUGAAGGAAAGACCGCCUGGCUGGAUCCAGCUGUGCCUGAAGCUCUCAAUUUUUUGUUAGAAAUUGAGAAACCUAAACUUUGAUCAAUUUAGCUGGUUUUGAUUGGUUGUUUUGCUUUGGGGAGGGGGAUUGGUUUUUAGUGUUUUUUCAACACAGUGCUCACUAUGUACCCGCACCCCCACCCCACCCCCCUUGAACUUACUAUGCAGACCAGGCUGGCCUACAUACAGUUGGCCCCCUCUGCUUCCUUAGUGCUGAAAUUAAAGUUGUGCCCCGCUAUGCCUGGCUGUUACUGGCCACUUAAAAAGCUCAUACACUUCAAUGGUCUCA
Mus musculus (house mouse) is the source of this 453-nucleotide long non-coding RNA. RefSeq annotates it as predicted gene, 39001. The record is from RefSeq and is a predicted model, not a curated record. The transcript has 2 exons. Lineage: Eukaryota; Metazoa; Chordata; Mammalia; Rodentia; Muridae.